RNAcentral lists this unclassified non-coding RNA (470 nucleotides) under Hevea brasiliensis (rubber tree). The record is from RNAcentral. Lineage: Eukaryota; Viridiplantae; Streptophyta; Magnoliopsida; Malpighiales; Euphorbiaceae.
GCCAGUAAAAAAAUUCUAGUAUCUCAAUGGAAUUACCUAUAUAAAAAGGACAAGGAUAAUUUCUAUGUUAAUUAUAACACAACAUUUAAGAACACGUAAUCUUGCAAGCUUUAGUUUUCCGCUUCAUCUUGCCAACAAAAAUUCAAAAGAAAUUAGAGGGUAUGUCAAUGGAAAAAAUUACAAAAUUCACCAAUUAACUUGCAAAGUCUCAAAGAUGGAACCAAAAAACAAAAACAAAAAUAUUGCAAUGUAACCAUAUUUCUUAUAAUAAUGAUCACAAGAUUUGGAAAUGUAGACAUGAUUUCUUAUAAAAGUGAUGUCAAAAUAAACCACCCAUCGUCUAGGUUUCAAAUAUUUGACCAGCACGUUGCAUUUCUCUUACUCUCUUAGUGAUCCUAUCCAAUCAGAGUAACAAUUAAAACCCUAAAAAUACAAAAAGAAAGCCAACCCAAAUUCAAAGAGACCACUGU